GUUUCGUAGGUGACCUGCGGAAGGAUCAUUGUCGA
This 35-nucleotide ribosomal RNA is filed under the name Erica platycodon subsp. maderincola. Its description in RNAcentral is "partial 18S ribosomal RNA". Lineage: Eukaryota; Viridiplantae; Streptophyta; Magnoliopsida; Ericales; Ericaceae. The record is from RNAcentral.